Molecule: ribosomal RNA, 436 nt
Filed under: uncultured bacterium
Lineage: Bacteria
Description: bacterial SSU rRNA
Rfam family: Bacterial small subunit ribosomal RNA
Source: RNAcentral
ACCAAAUAGAUACCCGGGUAGUCCACGCCCUAAACGAUGCGAACUGGAUGUUGGGUACAUUACGGUACUCAGUGUCGAAAGCUAAACGCGUUAAGUUCGCCGCCUGGGGAGUACGGUCGCAAGACUGAAACUCAAAGGAAUUGACGGGGGCCCGCACAAGCGGUGGAGUAUGUGGUUUAAUUCGAUGCAACGCGAAGAACCUUACCUGGCCUUGACAUCUGUCGAAUCCUGCAGAGAUGCGGGAGUGCCGCAAGGAACGACAAGACAGGUGCUGCAUGGCUGUCGUCAGCUCGUGUCGUGAGAUGUUGGGUUAAGUCCCGCAACGAGCGCAACCCUUGUCCCUAGUUGCCGGCACGUAAUGGUGGGAACUCUAGGGAGACUGCCGGUGACAAACCGGAGGAAGGUGGGGAUGACGUCAAGUCCUCAUGGCCCUUAC